RNAcentral lists this ribosomal RNA (564 nucleotides) under Inocybe sp. LM1057. Its description in RNAcentral is "eukaryotic LSU rRNA". The stretch from base 171 to 324 matches the Rfam family "5.8S ribosomal RNA". Lineage: Eukaryota; Fungi; Basidiomycota; Agaricomycetes; Agaricales; Inocybaceae. The record is from RNAcentral.
CAUUAUCGAACUCUGAAAGCGGGCUGUUGCUGGCCGAGCGGGCACGUGCACGCCUGUUUUUAUUUGCUUCUCCAACUGUGCACAAAUAUCGUAGACCUUAGCAAGGCCUAUGUUUUUCACAACCUCUUCUUGAAUGUAUCAGAAUGUAUUUUGGAUGCACAUAUAUAUACAACUUUCAGCAACGGAUCUCUUGGCUCUCGCAUCGAUGAAGAACGCAGCGAAAUGCGAUAAGUAAUGUGAAUUGCAGAAUUCAGUGAAUCAUCGAAUCUUUGAACGCAUCUUGCGCUCCUUGGUAUUCCGAGGAGCAUGCCUGUUUGAGUGUCAUUUGAACCUUCUCAAGCCCCCCCUCCCCCUAGAGCGGUGGCUUGGAAAUGGGGGGAAGUUUGCAGGAUUGCAAAGUCCUGCUCCCCUGAAACGCAUCAGCGGCGUCUUGGCAGACGACCCAGGGUGUGAUACAAACAUCAGCGCCAUGGGGCUGCGGAUUUGCCGCCGCUUUUCCAAUCUUUUGACCAACUUGACCUCAAAUCAGGUAGGACUACCCGCUGAACUUAAGCAUAUCAAUAA